UGCGUAGGCGGGCUAAUAAGUCAGUGGUGAAAUCUUCCGGCUCAACCGGGAACCUGCCAUUGAUACUGUUAGUCUUGAGUUCGGUUGAGGUAGGCGGAAUGUGUAAUGUAGCGGUGAAAUGCUUAGAUAUUACACAGAACACCAAUUGCGUAGGCAGCUUACUAGACCGAAACUGACGCUGAGGCACGAAAGCGUGGGGAGCGAACAGGAUUAGAUACCCUGGUAGUCC
This 229-nucleotide ribosomal RNA is filed under the name uncultured bacterium. Its description in RNAcentral is "partial 16S ribosomal RNA". It matches the Rfam family "Bacterial small subunit ribosomal RNA", at positions 568 to 796 of the family's 1533-position model. The record is from RNAcentral.